CGAGAAAUUUCUCUCUUAUCACGGUGUACGCCAUAAUCAUCUUCUCUCUCUAUCGUCCUGGGAAGGCGCUUCAUACCAUAAAAUAUAGACACUCUACAAUAUUUGGUCAGCCUGACUAUGUUCGCCUCGAGCAAUUAAGGCGUGUUACAAAAUAAACAAAAUGAAUUUUUUUUGUACAUUCAUUUAUAAAACAUGUAUAUGAUUCACUUAUAUGUAUAACAUGUCCUUAUUAUUUAAAAAUAAAAAAUUAGUUAUUUGUCAUAGCACGGAAAAGAUUAAAAAAUUAUGAAUUUUUUUUUCAAUUCAAAACUUUGACACCCAUUAUAGUCAAGUCUUAUAUUAAAAAUUAAGUAUUAUUUUAAGAUAUCAUCAAUUACAAAGCCGUAUUAGCAUCUUAAUUCUUUUGUACGUCUGGAAUAUAUGCUUCUCUUACAGAAAUUAUCAUAACUUUUAAAGAAAUUAUCUUAUCGACUUUUAUUUUUGUUGUUUUAAAAAGGAAAGUUUAAUCUACACGUAUAAAUUAUUGCACACUUUGAAAUCUUGCGUAUUCAAAAAGAUAUAAUGUAAACUUUGCAAAAAAUUCAUCUUUUUGGUAGUAAAGAAUAAUCAUGUAUUAUGUCAAAUUUUUAUUAAAUUGACUUUUUAGUUAAAGUCUUAUUUAAUUGUAAAAGAAAUAAAAAAAGAUUAAAAUUUUAUUGUAAUAAAUAUUGUAAUAGUUUUUAUUGUAUUCAAAGUAUGCGCAAGCAACAAUGUCUUUUAGACUUCCGUAAUACUUUUAUUUUUCUAAAUAUGCUAUUUUGAAUUAUACUUCUUGCCUUUGGUUUGUAAUUAGUAAUCACAAACCUUAAUCCGGGCUCAUAUUUGAAAUUUAUCGAUAUUUUAGUAUUUUAUGAGACCGCUAUCCUAAAUUUACCCUUUUAAAUUUUAAUUUUGAUACUUGAUUUUGAAUCAAUUAACAUCUCCAAAAACCGUUUCCAUGUAAAACGCAUUUUCUCUGGGAAAACCGACGAUACAAAAGGAUUCAGUUAUUAGUUGAGACUUGAAAUAAGAUUCAGUUAUAAAUAGCGACCGUAGCUGAUAUAAAAUUCAAAAAUUCUAAAUAUGUGAACUUAAAACUUGUAUCUUAAGAUGGACUUGUAUUCAUUACUAUUUAUCGCGAAAAAAGUUCAAGUAGUAAAACAAGAAAAACAUUAUCAUGAGUUUUUAAUUUAAAUGGCAAUGUGAGACAGAUCUUGGAAUCCCCACUAUCGACUAUCGAUGUAAUUAUACUGACAGAAUUGCCGUGAACAUUGAAAUUAACAGACAAUCGCUUCUGCGCCCGAAUAGGCUACAUUCAUGUGUUAGUGUGAUUAAGUGGAUGAACUUCGCAAUGGCAGAGAAAACAUGUCCAACCAAAAGAGGAAGACCAGCGAUUGGUCUGGGUCAAGCGCUGUCUCUGUUUAACCAGUAGCACAGUGAGCGCUAGACAAAGAUAGAAAUUGACCCGGACCAUAUCUUCUCUUUGUUUUUCUGCCGGACACUUUUCAAGAGCUUUUUGUAGAGAUUACACAGUCCAUGCUUUACGUCGAUGAAGUGGUUGAUGACUGAAGAAAUACGAGACUGUAGGAAAUUAAACCCGAAUAAAACAGUUAUUACUACAAGAAUGUUUAUUAUUAUAUUAUUAUUAUUUAUUCCUGUGGUAUAUUUGGCGUGUCAUUAUUACGUGCACAAUGGACCAUGUGGACGAUUAUUCCAUAAAAUACCAGGACCGUCAGGUUAUCCAAUUAUUGGUAAUUUAUUUUUAGCGCUAUGUUCACGAGGUAAGUUAAAACUUUCAACAUAUUUUUAUAAGUAAACAAAUUUUUCAAAUUAUGUAAAUAUUAAUGUUCCUUUGUGCAUAAUAUUUUUAAUAAUUAUAUAAGAAAGAGAGAGUUUUACAAUAUUUUUUAUUCAUUUUUAUUUUCUGGUUAAUUGUGUUUGUUUUGUUUUCGGUCCAACCAGAAUGCAAACAAAUCAGUUUAAAGUACAUGUAAAAUUCUAAAUUAAACUAAUUGCAAUUUUUCUUUAUUCUUAAUAUUUGAUAUACUUGUACAAAUUUUCAGAGAAGUUUUGGAAAAAUUUAAUUAUUUUUUCUACUCAAUAUUAUCCUAUUUUUAAAGUGUGGAUGUUUUUUUAUGGUCUUGUAUCUAUUCGACAUCCUGAUGACUUGGAGAUAAUACUAAGUAGUACAAAAGACAUCGAUAAGAGUCGAUUGUAUGAAGUAUUACAUCCUUGGUUAGGAAUGGGUCUUCUUACUAGUGGAGAAAUUUGAAGGAAUAUCGUCUUCUUCGGCUAUGUGAGCGGCGGCUCGUAUUUUCAUUCUUUUAAAGCAAACAAAUCUGAUUAAUGAGAAGAGGAGGAGAGAAUAUUCCAUCCGGACAAGACAACAUAAUUAUAAUUAUAAUUAAACUUUACUUAAGAGUGUUCUUGUGUGCGAUAGUCUCGUAAGCAAAGUCACAAGUCACAUAAAAAACACUUAAGACCUGUAAGUAUAUGCAAAUAAUACGCAAUUAAUUCAAAUUUCAAUUUCGCGUUUGUAUUCUGGGCCUUUUUUUAUUGGCUCACUUAUACGUGACGUACAUUAAUGGCAUGGCAUCAAUGAUUCACCUUGUAUCUUUACACCAUAGUGGUAAUCACGUGUUUGGUCACGAGUUUCUGUCUCUUAGGAAGAAAAAUAUGUGCUCAAAUAUUGUUUUAUUGUUUAAUAACAUUAUAAUUUAAAUCAACAAAAAUUAAAUUCUUUCAAAAAUAUUUUAUUUAAAAGAAACAAUUACUUUGUUUAAAAGUCCAAACAAUUGUAUUUGUUAGUUGAAACAUCAGUUUCAUUGGCGUGUACCAAUAAUCAAAUUUGUUUGACUUAAAAAAAAUUUAUUAUAUCCAAAGAAACUUUUCUCUCUGCGUACUAAAAAUCUAUAGUUAACGUUACGUAUGCUAUAGACGUUUAGUACUGACAGCAAUUUUGAAACACAGCCGUAGAUGUAAUCUAAAAAUCUAUGUUUUGUCA
This is an RNA transcript of Monomorium pharaonis (pharaoh ant), 3022 nucleotides long. It is a transcript of the gene named cytochrome P450 4V2-like, with no coding region annotated. The record is from RefSeq and is a predicted model, not a curated record. NCBI's taxonomy places the organism in Eukaryota, Metazoa, Arthropoda, Insecta, Hymenoptera, Formicidae. The transcript has 5 exons.